Long non-coding RNA from Astyanax mexicanus (Mexican tetra), 187 nucleotides. RefSeq lists it as uncharacterized. Lineage: Eukaryota; Metazoa; Chordata; Actinopteri; Characiformes; Acestrorhamphidae. The transcript is spliced from 3 exons. The record is from RefSeq and is a predicted model, not a curated record.
GAUGUCGAUGAUUCAGUUGUAGUUGUUGGGUCAGGACUUGUGAUGACUUCAGUUGUUGUUGCAUCAGUUGAGGUGGUUGUAAGCAGGGUUGUUGCUUGUUCUGUAGUUGAUGUUGGAGAUUCAGUGGUUGUACUGGUUUGUACUGUGGUUGUUUCUUGCACUGUAGUCUCAAGUUGAGCUGUUGAUG